This is a non-coding RNA of Myodes glareolus (Bank vole), 333 nucleotides long. NCBI's taxonomy places the organism in Eukaryota, Metazoa, Chordata, Mammalia, Rodentia, Cricetidae. The record is from RefSeq and is a predicted model, not a curated record.
GGGGUAGACUAGACAGGAAGUCGACCGACGGCACUGAGUGGUGCGAGCUCACACCAGUGACAGACGAACCGGCCCUCUGCCUCGCCGAAAUUAUCCACGUAGAGUGUUGCCUCACUGGGGACACCCUCUCCGUGCUAACAAUAGAGACCCUCGACUUGUCAGCUCUCGGGAGGGGAAGACAUCGGGAGAGGAAGACGUCGGCACAGAGGAGACAGCUCAGAAAUGUUAAGCUGCUGCCAUUUUUAUUAAGAGACAGUGGAGCUGGGUCUAAGGAGGAGCCACCUGGCUGACGGAGACCUACAUUGGAGCACCGGACCGAGCCCCCCAAGGUCC